UGGGGAAUAUUGCACAAUGGGCGCAAGCCUGAUGCAGCCAUGCCGCGUGUGUGAAGAAGGCCUUCGGGUUGUAAAGCACUUUCAGCGAGGAGGAAGGCGUUAAGGUUAAUAACCUUGGCGAUUGACGUUACUCGCAGAAGAAGCACCGGCUAACUCCGUGCCAGCAGCCGCGGUAAUACGGAGGGUGCAAGUGUUAAUCGGAAUUACUGGGCGUAAAGCGCACGCAGGCGGUUUGUUAAGUCAGAUGUGAAAUCCCCGAGCUUAACUUGGGAACUGCAUUUGAAACUGGCAAGCUAGAGUCUUGUAGAGGGGGGUAGAAUUCCAGGUGUAGCGGUGAAAUGCGUAGAGAUCUGGAGGAAUACCGGUGGCGAAGGCGGCCCCCUGGACAAAGACUGACGCUCAGGUGCGAAAGCGUGGGGCAGCAAACAGGAUUAGAUACCCUGGUAGUCCACGCUGUAAACGAUGUCGAUUUGGAGGUUGUGGGCUUGACCCGUGGCUUCCGGAGCUAACGCGUUAAAUCGACCGCCUGGGGAGUACGGCCGCAAGGUUAAAAC
This 554-nucleotide ribosomal RNA is filed under the name uncultured bacterium. RNAcentral's name for it is "partial 16S ribosomal RNA". It matches the Rfam family "Bacterial small subunit ribosomal RNA", at positions 355 to 900 of the family's 1533-position model. The record is from RNAcentral.